GGUCCAGACUCCUACGGGAGGCAGCAGUGGGGAAUAUUGGGCAAUGGGCGCAAGCCUGACCCAGCAACGCCGCGUGAAGGAAGAAGGCUUUCGGGUUGUAAACUUCUUUUCUGAGGGACGAAGCAAGUGACGGUACCUUAGGAAUAAGCCACGGCUAACUACGUGCCAGCAGCCGCGGUAAUACGUAGGUGGCAAGCGUUAUCCGGAUUUACUGGGUGUAAAGGGCGUGUAGGCGGAAAAGCAAGUCAGAUGUGAAAACCACGGGCUCAACCUGUGGCCUGCAUUUGAAACUGUUUUUCUUGAGUACUGGAGAGGCAGACGGAAUUCCUAGUGUAGCGGUGAAAGGCGUAGAUAUUAGGAGGAACACCAGUGGCGAAGGAGGUCUGCUGGACAGCAACUGACGCUGAGGCGCGAAAGCGUGGGGAGCAAACAGGAUUAGAUACCCCGGUAGAC
This 453-nucleotide ribosomal RNA is filed under the name uncultured bacterium. RNAcentral describes it as "partial 16S ribosomal RNA". It matches the Rfam family "Bacterial small subunit ribosomal RNA", at positions 328 to 795 of the family's 1533-position model. The record is from RNAcentral.